RNAcentral lists this ribosomal RNA (642 nucleotides) under Streptomyces sp. Its description in RNAcentral is "bacterial SSU rRNA". It matches the Rfam family "Bacterial small subunit ribosomal RNA", at positions 81 to 736 of the family's 1533-position model. Lineage: Bacteria; Bacillati; Actinomycetota; Actinomycetes; Kitasatosporales; Streptomycetaceae. The record is from RNAcentral.
UUCGGUGGGGAUUAGUGGCGAACGGGUGAGUAACACGUGGGCAAUCUGCCCUGCACUCUGGGACAAGCCCUGGAAACGGGGUCUAAUACCGGAUACAACCACUGACCGCAUGGUCGGGUGGUGGAAAGCUCCGGCGGUGCAGGAUGAGCCCGCGGCCUAUCAGCUUGUUGGUGAGGUAACGGCUCACCAAGGCGACGACGGGUAGCCGGCCUGAGAGGGCGACCGGCCACACUGGGACUGAGACACGGCCCAGACUCCUACGGGAGGCAGCAGUGGGGAAUAUUGCACAAUGGGCGCAAGCCUGAUGCAGCGACGCCGCGUGAGGGAUGACGGCCUUCGGGUUGUAAACCUCUUUCAGCAGGGAAGAAGCGAGAGUGACGGUACCUGCAGAAGAAGCGCCGGCUAACUACGUGCCAGCAGCCGCGGUAAUACGUAGGGCGCAAGCGUUGUCCGGAAUUAUUGGGCGUAAAGAGCUCGUAGGCGGCUUGUCGCGUCGGUUGUGAAAGCCCGGGGCUUAACCCCGGGUCUGCAGUCGAUACGGGCAGGCUAGAGUUCGGUAGGGGAGAUCGGAAUUCCUGGUGUAGCGGUGAAAUGCCCAGAUAUCAGGAGGAACACCGGUGGCGAAAGCGGAUCUCUGGGCCG